CCCCUCUGCGCAGGGCCGGGGGCUUUGUGGGCCGGCGCGGGAGACGCGCGCCCAGGGGGCUCCCGGCCGGGGCGUGGGAGGCGCGGCGGGCAGCUCAGUGGGGAGCUUCUCUCUCGGCUGUCCUCCCCUCCGCCCUCCGGGAGCCUGGGGACGUCCGGAAGGCCGAUCCGGGACGGCGGCUGGACGCUGGAAUUGGGAGGGGGCGGAGAGGAGGCUCCCGCGCGCCCUGGGCUGCCGCCCUCGGAAUCCGCCCGUGACCACCGGCCCGCGCCCGGGCAGGCCCAGCCCUCCUGCAGCCCAGCCCGCUCCUCUACGCCCGGCCCGCGGCCGCUGAGCAGGCCCGGAGGAGCGCAGACCCCUCCCCGCCUCGUCCUCCGUGAGAUGCCCAUGGUGGCAGCCUGCGCUUUCCUCGGGGGCGGGGGGGGAGCCACUUUGCGCAGGUUGGGUUAAGAAAGGCCGCCCCCCGCGUGGCCCUCCGGAGCGCACUAAGAGGCUGCGGUGAUCGGGCCCCGAGUCGGGUCAGGAGCUCGUCGCUCGCUGAAGCGAAGGAUGUGGCUGUUCGCGCUGAGGCGGAGAGAGGUGGUCAAGUGGCAGCGAGGGGCAAGCAGGAAUUAGGGCCUCCAGACCUUCAGACAAGGCUACUUGCCGCUACCCUAAGCUGAACGCAGCCCAAAGGCUCAGAGGGGUCCUCGGGGCCUUCCUGCAUCCUCCAUCCAGGUUCCGGAGCUGGGGAGAAAGCGCCGCGCCUGAGCGGGUCUGAGUCCCACCAGCCCUCCCCGUCCAUCUGCCGCGCCCUGAGGUCGGACCCUCCCACGGAAGAGGCGGCAGAGAGCGACAGCCGACUGCAGAUACCUCUUGUUUCCUUCAGACCCUUCAAGGGGGAGCGGAACAAAACCAGGUCCCCCAAAGAAAGUGGCCUGGGGGAGAAGGUGGGUGACUGAGGAACAGGAUCCCUCAGCUGUGCUGCUCUCCUCAUUCCCGGGGCGCGGGGGCCUCCUGCUCCCUCCUCUAGAUUUCGGACAAUCACUCCUGACUAGGCGAGUCACUGGGAGCCACGGUUUGCCAGAGACCUGGACUCUGUGACCUUAGCAGCAGACAGACCAAAGCAAGGCGGGAACUCUGUGAACAGUGUUGUUCGCUCAAAGGAGAGUCCGACAGAAGCAGGAGAUCUUCCCUGGAGCCCGUGGAGCCAGUGGGAGCUGCCGCCUUGGACUUCACUGGGCUCUGUGCUCCCUGGCUUCGUGCAGGUCCCUCCCAGCACCAGCCAGGCACCCCGGCCUCCAGGAUCAGCCAUGGCAGGUCUGGCUUAGGUGCUUUAGUAAACACCCGGCCUGUGGACUGCUCUGGGGUCCAGACUGCGGAGCGCCCAGUCCGCGACAGGCUGGUUCACCUCCUGCUCACUGUUGGGAAUCAGGGCUCAUGGCUCCGCCCAGUGCAACCCUAAAGCAGGCCUUCCACGGCACAAGAGGGCUGCUCGACACUCGUCUAUUUUCUUUUCUUUCGCUGAAGACUAAAAGACUUGAAGAACUGUACACAGGCCUACUGCUUCAAUGAAAGUCCCUCCAAAACGGCCCAGUUGUCACUAGAGACAGGUGCCAUUCCUUGAAGUCACGUGUUGGGCGCUGUGGUCAAGGAAACAAAACCAAGACCCCAAACAUCAGUUUUGGGGAGCUGUCCAUGAGCAUCAGAGUCUUAACGCCAACCCAGCCAGACCACCAGGGAGCAGCCUGUGGUUUGAAAAAUCCAGACGAACUGAAACAGUCGGAUUAAUUGUGCUGAUGCCAUGGGGAGGGCCCCCAAGGAGGCUGCGCGAGGCUGGAUACAGGCAGGAGGGAGGCGUCUUUUGAAAGGUGAGGUGAAUCCUAGGAUCCUGGAAUUUCAGGAUGGGAACUGAGGCUCAGGGAGAGCACGCUGGCCAAGGACGCAGUGCUGCAGGCGUGAGGGCAGGGGAGGGAGACAUCACACACAACAUGUUCAGCAUGUGCAGACUUACCACCUGCACUUAUUGCUUCAUUCUCACCAGAAUCCCCAGAAGCUGGAGCCCCAAGAACCACUGAAGAGUUUGGAAUCUGUCCAGCAGGAAAGAGGGGCUCGCUGCAUGCUGGAUCCCACAGCCUGAUCUGUGUCCUGAUCCCAUCUCAGAGCACAGAUCCCUUCCUGGAUCCCCUAGUCUGUUCUGUGUCCUGAUCCUCUUCUCAGAGUACCGAUCCUGUCUGGAUCCCACACCUGGAUCUGUGUCCUGAUCUCAUCUCAGAGCACAGACUCUGUCCUGGAUCCCACACUCUGAUCUGUGUCCUGAUCCCAUCUCAGAGCACAGACCCUGUCCUGGAUCCCCUACUCUGAUCUGUGUCCUGAUCCUCUUCUCAGAGUAUAGAUCCCCUCCUGGAUCCCACACCCUGAUCUGUCUCCUGAUCCCGCCUCAGAGCACAGAUCCCUUCCGGGGUCCCACACCCUGAUCUGUGUCCUGAAACUCCCCUCAGAGAGCAGCCCUGUCCUGGCCCCUCCACCUCCAUCCAGCCUGCCCACUCUAGUGCAGUCUGUCUUACAACCAUGGAGUCCCUACCGGGGGUGCUCCCUUUGGUCGGUCCCAAGAGCAAGGAAGUCUCAUUUCUGCCCCUUGCUGUGUAAGUUACCCAGGUGCUGGAGGCAGUGCAUAAGGUUCUCUGUGCAUGAUACAGUGACACACGCCUGGCUCACAUGGAUCAGACACAACUCACCUGAGGGUCCCAGCACAGCACCAGAGAUGCUCAACAGGCACGAUUCUGCAGUCCCUUUCCUCCUCAAUUAGCUGCAGUUGUGGCAUGUGGGACGCUGCCUCAGCGUGGUCUGAUGAGCAGCGCCAUGUCCGCGCCCAGGAUUCGAACUAACGAAACACUGGGCCGCCUGCAGCGGAGCGCGCGAACUUAACCACUCGGCCACGGGGCCAGGCCCGCCACCACAUAUUUUUGCUCUAAACAUGAAGACUUCUCAAUUACUCCUUAUUCCUCGAACACUCCAGGUACUUUCAGUAAAUCUUUUAAACAUCACAUGACCUAUUCCAGGAAUUUCCCGACACUCUCCAACUACUGGUCCUUCCGAUUUUUCCAAUUUCCCUUCACCCCCAUUCCCUCAGCUCAGUUUACUUCAUGUGCAAAUCGGGGGGGCAGUGAGGGUGCUGAAUGGGUAGAAAUGUGCCCCCCAAAAGAUAUAUCUAAGUCCUCAUCUCUAAUUCCUGGGAAUGUGACCUUAUUUGAAAAUAGGGUCUUUGCAGACAUAAACAAGUUAAGACCAGGUCAUACUGAAUUAGUGUGAGCCUGAAAUCCAGUGAUGGGUGUCUUUGUAAGCAGGCCAUGUGAAGAUGGACAUGCAGGAUGAAGGCCAUGUGGCUGCAGAGACAGAGAUUGGAAUGAUGUGUUUGCGAGGCCAGGACCACUGUAAUUGCUGGCCAUCAGCGGAAGCCAAGAGAAGGCAGGAAUGAUUUUCCCCAGGAGUCUUCAGAGAGCCUGGUCCUGCUGAUGCCUUGAUUUCAGACUCUGGCUCCCAGAACUGUGAGAGAAUAAACUCCUGUUGUUUCA
This is a non-coding RNA of Equus caballus (horse), 3554 nucleotides long. NCBI's taxonomy places the organism in Eukaryota, Metazoa, Chordata, Mammalia, Perissodactyla, Equidae. The record is from RefSeq and is a predicted model, not a curated record.